RNAcentral lists this long non-coding RNA (1723 nucleotides) under Anas platyrhynchos platyrhynchos (common mallard). RNAcentral describes it as "lncRNA (ENSAPLG00000026979.1)". Lineage: Eukaryota; Metazoa; Chordata; Aves; Anseriformes; Anatidae. The record is from RNAcentral.
GGUGGUGCACUAAGAGAAUUAUGACAACUCAAGAGUCAGGUUUGCACACUUCCUUUUAUUUUAUCUGACAGAAUUAUAUGUUUCUUGUUGUUUUUUUCUUCAGACAUUUUUAUAGUUCCCUAUACUGUUCCUCAUUCCUUCUGUCAUUUCCCAUGCAGCCACUCACCAGAUCAAGAGAAUACUUUUGAGACACUGCAACUGAGCGUAAUACACCUGAAGGAAUUCAGUAACUGUAGUAGCUGUUUGGACCGUGAUCAGAAUAAGGCAAUCUAAGAAAAGCAGAUGACAUAGAUAAAGUGUGAAAAUCACCAGGUCUUGUAGGUAUUUAUUGCCCAGAAACACCACCAUGUAAGGUGAGACUGAGGAGCACUCAGCGGUCAGAAUAGUGACACUACUGACACAUUAAUGCGUAUAAAACUACAGAAGAGUACUCAGAAAGUAUUUAUACAUGUAGACUCAAAAAUAGAAGUCAUUGCAUGUCCCUACCAUAAUCAACACCUUUCUGGCAAUGCUUAUUUCACCCAUAUUUUUACAGAGACAGAAUUUAUAAAUAUAUAUAUAUAUGUAUAUAUGACUUUUUUUUUUUUUUUUUUUUUUCAGAUUAAUACACUAGAAGUUAUUCCUAAGGAGUAUGGGUUGAAGCAAAUCUUUUUACACUUACACACCUUGCCUUCUAACAUCCUUGCCCUGCUCACUGAGUACAUUUUUUCUAGCCAUGGCUGAGGUUCCAUCCUCCUGGCUGUUGACAGCUCUCCAUGAUGAUCUGGACUGCUCCACUGACACAGAAAAUGGCAUCUGAUCUGCCAAACAGCACCUGACACAAGCGUGGUACUGGACUUUCUCCUGCCUCUUCUUGUAUUCUGGUGGAAUGGCUCAUAUUUCUUUCACUCAGUGUUGUAAGCAGGCAGUGGUAAAUCAGCUUUACAAGACCUCUGACUGACCAUGUGAACAUCUGGAUUUGCUCUCUGAAUUUUGAAUUUUUGAAUAUUUUGAAUUUUGGCUUGCUCUACCUGUCCAAGGAGUCUGCUACAUGAGACUGUCCUGAAGGUUCAGUCUGCAUGCUCUCUUCCCUCACUGUGCUUGCUUGUUUGCAGAGGUGGCACUGCUCAUGAUGGUGGGCUGCAGGAAGGAAAGCCCAUCUCUACAUCAUACUAGCCAUUUGAAAGCCAUUCCAGGAGUUCCAGGGACAAAGUCAUCUUGGACAGCAGGUCUCAACCUUGUGAUGAGGUUAACCACUGUUGUAUGCCACCAGAGGACUGUGGAUUGCUGCUGAAAAAAAAACAUUUUGAGCAACAGACACAAGGUAACAUUUACUGAGGAGGUUUGACCAUAGCUACAUGUUGACCCAUCCUACAUACAAGUGGACUUCUCUCUUUGAGAACCCAGAAAGAUAACCUUGCUAGCACCCCUACAACAUGAACAGCAAGAUCUCACAGCCUCCAUGACUUCAUGCUACACAGCAAGAAUGAAUGACUCUUUUGAGGAUUUUUUUUUUCCAUAAGCAAUACUACUGAGGAUUUUGCAGUCUUCCCUUUGAGGUAUUCCCAAAAGAUGUAUUCCAGUGCAGCACACACAUCCCAAUGAUGGGGAGAAAUAACACUGCAGGCUCUGGUGGUAAGGAUAAAGACAGACUUCUAAAUAACCAGGUUACAACCCCAAAAGCUUUAUUGUUGUUGUUUGUUUGCUUGUUUGGUGAUGGCGGUGGUGGAUUUGUUUUUUGUUU